This 461-nucleotide ribosomal RNA is filed under the name uncultured eukaryote. RNAcentral's name for it is "eukaryotic LSU rRNA". It matches the Rfam family "Eukaryotic large subunit ribosomal RNA", at positions 706 to 1165 of the family's 3401-position model. The record is from RNAcentral.
GCCCAUCCGCGCAACGAAAGCGAAUGGCGGGACGCUCUCCCGCAGGGGGGCGGCGCCGCCGGCCGGACGUCCUCGAGGCGGACCGAGCCGGAGCGCUCGCGUCGGGACCCGAAAGGUGGUGAUCUAUCCGUGCGCGCGGCGAAGCCGGGGGAAACCCCGGUGGAGGCCCGUCGACGGUACUGACGUGCAAAUCGUUCGUCCGACGUGCGAAUAGGGGCGAAAGACCAAUCGAACCUCCUAGUAGCUGGUUUCCGCCGAAAUUUCCCCUCAGGAUAGCGGCCAUCGCGGAAACGUUUUGACCGGUAGAGCGAACGACUAGAGGUACCGGGGCCGUAACGGCCUCGACCUAUUCUCGAACUCCGAACGGGCAAGGAGCCGGGGUCGCCCGAUCGGACCCCGGACGUGAAGUCGACGAUGGUCGGUGGGCUGGUUUUGGUAAGCAGAACGGGCGAUUCGGGAUG